GUAUUCUAUGCCAAGAAGCAGCUAUUGCUUGUUCAGCAGCAGGUUGCGUUUAUCUUUAUGGCAUUAUAACGGUUGGCAGCAGAUCGCACCACAGGUGUCCCACUUUAACACACACACAUUUCCAAACACACACAUGUUAAGUCCAGAAAACCUGCCGGCUGCAGUUCACUGAUUCCUUGGUGAGCGACGUGCAUCAUUACCAGCUUUUAAAUGCAGUGGUGUCCUGCCUUCAGGACUUUUUAAAAGGCUGUCUGUCUCCCCCUCCUUAAAGCACCUCACCCACUACUCACACUCUUUAAAGUGCUACUAAAGAGGCUUAACGGCCCAUUCCAAAAGGCCUGCAUGGGGCAUUUGUGCUUGAUUUGAAGAAGAAAAAAACACUUGCUGUGAAAACACGGUCCUUCAGUGAGAGCCCUUGUGGAGUGUGCACAGUUGCUUUGCCGUGGUGUUAAAGAGAAGAAGAUUGGGCAGGAAUAAAGACUGAAGGAUUUCCAAGAUUGGGCAGGAAUAGAGGGAUCCUUCACAGUUAUUAUCUCCAUACAUCCAGAUCACGGGCAUCAUCUCAGAGAUCUUGGACUCAGUAAAGCUGGCAUUUGCAGCCCCCUCCAGGUGUGUGUGCACCCCUCAUCUCUGAUCCACUUCACGCUUCACGCCAGACACGUCACUCGCUGGGGACACGCCUCCUCCGGAUACGGCUCGCAACGGUCGCUGCUGCCACCUGGCUGCCAGGAGAGCGUACUACGUCUGAGCUGAUUAAACUGUUCACUUCUUCCAGUUCUGAGUGCCUGCUUUUUUGGGGUCCACCGGUCUCUCACCUAACCUGACAGUUUGAAGCUUAUAUUUACUACAUGGUUGGAAACUUGGACGUACUAUUUUAGGUUAAAAUGCACCUCAUGUUGUAAACAAAUAUUGAGGACGACAGCAGUAGACACUUUUCAGGUCAGAAUAAUUUUAAACAAGAUUUACAGCCAAACAAAGGACUUUCUACCUGAAAAAGUGGCUACUUCUGUCACAUGGAUGUGGUUUGGACAAAAAAAAAAAAAGAACG
This is a long non-coding RNA of Oryzias melastigma (Indian medaka), 1048 nucleotides long. RefSeq lists it as uncharacterized. The transcript is spliced from 4 exons. The record is from RefSeq and is a predicted model, not a curated record. NCBI's taxonomy places the organism in Eukaryota, Metazoa, Chordata, Actinopteri, Beloniformes, Adrianichthyidae.